UGUGGUAUGUGAGUGUUGUGUCGUGUGUUGUGUGUGUGUUGUGUGUGUCGUGUGUCCUGUGUGUUGGGUCAUGUGUUGUGUGUGGCGCAUCUGUGUGUGUGUGUGGUGUGUCUGUUGUGUGUGUAGUGUGUUGUCAUGUGUUGUGUCACAUGUGUUGUGUGGUGUGUCAUGUGUUGUGUCGUGUGUGUUGUGUGUUAUAUGUGUCGUGUGGUGUGUGUUGUGUGUUGUGUAUGAUGUGUCCUAUGGUGUCUGUUGUGUGUAGUGUGUGAUGUGUAUUGUGUGGUGUAUGUGUGGUGUGCCUGUUGUGUAUGUGUGGUGUGCCUGUUGUAUUGUGUCGUGUGUUGUGUUGUGUGUGUGUUGUGUGUUGUGUCAUGUAUGUGAUGUGUGUUAUGUGCGUCGUGUGUCGUGUCAUGUGUGGUGUGUCAUCUGUUGUGUGCUGUGUGUGUCAUGUGUGUUGUGUGUUGUGUUGUGUGUGGUGUGAUGUGUGUCAU
Molecule: long non-coding RNA, 491 nt
Filed under: Homo sapiens (human)
Lineage: Eukaryota; Metazoa; Chordata; Mammalia; Primates; Hominidae
Description: HSALNT0344492
Source: RNAcentral